GUAGGUGAACCUGCGGAAGGAUCAUUCAUAAUAAGUAUUUUAUGGCACUUUUUUAAAUCCAUAUCCACCUUGUGUGCAAUGUCAGGGUUGAUUUUUCUCUCGAGAGGAUCAACCCCAAACAUCAACUAUAUCUCAACUCUUUGUCUGAAAAAUAUUAUGAAUAAAACAAUUCAAAAUACAACUUUCAACAACGGAUCUCUUGGCUCUC
RNAcentral lists this unclassified non-coding RNA (208 nucleotides) under plant metagenome. RNAcentral describes it as "partial contains small subunit ribosomal RNA, internal transcribed spacer 1, and 5.8S ribosomal RNA". The record is from RNAcentral.